This is a long non-coding RNA of Dreissena polymorpha, 1018 nucleotides long. RefSeq lists it as uncharacterized. The record is from RefSeq and is a predicted model, not a curated record. NCBI's taxonomy places the organism in Eukaryota, Metazoa, Mollusca, Bivalvia, Myida, Dreissenidae. The transcript has 3 exons.
UUAUUGUCAACAGUAUUAAAGAGUAACAGAAAUUGGUAAACGUGUUGCUCAAUAAAUCACUAAAGACUUACCAAGAACCCACCCGACCGACAGGAUUACUUUCCUGACUUAUUAAAGGGACAUAUUAGAGUAAACAAUUUCCCGGUGACAAAUGGCGCCCAACGUAUUUGAAUGAUGAUUUUGAGUUUCAGUGACCAGCAAAAUAUGAACUGUGACCAGUGAAACAAUGGAUUAUUGUCAAAAUGCUCAAUUUGGACGGCAGUGAAGUUUUAACCUAUAACAGCGACUGCAUAAACAGUGAAUUUUGAAGUUAUAUGCAGUACAGUAAAAUUGACAACUGGAUUAUAUUUACAAGAGUAAACUUUUUCUAAUGGAUUAUAGUACAUGAUUGUACAUACAGUGGGAUUUUAAAUUGUCAAAGUGCUUGACACAGUGAUUUUUCAAAAGUGAACAUCCAUCUGAUCAUGGAUAUACACGUAUAUGAAAAGUUUCCAACUUUUCAUUUCGUCAGCAGGAGAGGAGUCGUUUAAUUCGUCAGACGGAGAGAGGAGUCGUUUAACCAAUGAAGAAACCACGGUCGGUUGUUCCCAUUUAAAAGUGAUCCGAACAGUAACUUUACAUUGAGUCUGUCGGAAUUAAUAGUGGUUCAUCAAGAACAGUGAAUUGUGAUUAGAACUGUGUGUAUCUAGUGAUUUUAGAACCUUAAACAAGGAUCUAAAUAGACAUUACAGAAACAUUUGGAGACAUUUGGUUGUCUGAUAGUGGCACAGCAACUAACUGGUUCACAGUGUGAUUGUUGGUGUGAUGUAUAGAGAUUGCAGGUGCCAAUGAGUAGAGUGCAUUUAGACCCUCAGUUUGGAUGCGUGCUUAUUGUCAACAUUAUUAAAGAGUAACAGAAAUUGUUAACCAUGUUGCUCAAAAAAUCACUAAGGACUUACCAAGAACUCAUCCCAACCGAUAGGAUUACUUUCCUGACAAAUUAAAGGGGCAUAAUAGAGUAAAAUCUGUCACAGCUAAC